RNAcentral lists this ribosomal RNA (429 nucleotides) under Triticum aestivum (bread wheat). RNAcentral's name for it is "partial small subunit ribosomal RNA". Lineage: Eukaryota; Viridiplantae; Streptophyta; Magnoliopsida; Poales; Poaceae. The record is from RNAcentral.
AUGAUUUUACAGUUCAUUUGGUGUCAACAAUGGGUGGCAGUAAACUGCAUUGCUACUAAGUGCGGAGUAAGGACUAAGCAUUUGUCUUAUUAUACACACAUUACAUAUAUCAAAAUGACCAUGAAGGAUAUAGUUGUUUCCUCAGCUUUUGUCUACCAAGGACGUGAUGGAUCCAAAGAAGUUUCUGAUGCAGAGUUAGCUUUGGAAGGAACAUCUUCUGCUCACUGUUUACAUGCUGGUGGUACUCUUGGUGUUUUGCCAACUGGAAAGAAGAUAGUUAGCAUGGGCAUCAUUCAUUCAUCAAUGCCAAAACACAAAAGGCUUAGACAACAAAAAAGAAUGCCCGUUUUUCAGUGGUCUAUUGAAGAAAAAUCAAAGGGGGCAAAAGAUAAUACUCCCUCCGUUUCGAUUUACUCGUCGUGGUUUUAG